CGGAGGAAAAGAAACUAACAAGGAUUCCCCUAGUAGCGGCGAGCGAAGCGGGAAGAGCUCAAAUUUAUAAUCUGGCGCUUUCAGCGUCCGAGUUGUAAUCUCUAGAAGUGUUUUCCGCGUUGGACCGCACAUAAGUCUGUUGGAAUACAGCGGCACAGUGGUGAGACCCCCGUUCACGGUGCGGAUGCCCAAUGCUUUGUGAUACACUUUCGAAGAGUCGAGUUGUUUGGGAAUGCAGCUCAAAUUGGGUGGUAAAUUCCAUCUAAAGCUAAAUAUUGGCGAGAGACCGAUAGCGAACAAGUACCGUGAGGGAAAGAUGAAAAGCACUUUGGAAAGAGAGUUAACAGUACGUGAAAUUGUUGGAAGGGAAACGCUUGAAGUCAGACUUGCUAUUCGGGGCUUGCUCCGAGUUGCAGGCCAGCAUCAGUUUUUCGGGGCGGAAAAUCACGGAUUGAAGGUAGCAGUUUCGGCUGUGUUAUAGCUUUCCGUUGGAUACGUCCUGGGGGACUGAGGAACGCAGUGUGCUUUUAGCGAGGGCUUCGGCUCUUUCACACUUAGGAUGCUGGUGGAAUGGCUUUAAACGACCCGUCUUGAA
This 595-nucleotide ribosomal RNA is filed under the name Rhodosporidiobolus ruineniae. Its description in RNAcentral is "partial large subunit ribosomal RNA". It matches the Rfam family "Eukaryotic large subunit ribosomal RNA", at positions 51 to 658 of the family's 3401-position model. The record is from RNAcentral. Lineage: Eukaryota; Fungi; Basidiomycota; Microbotryomycetes; Sporidiobolales; Sporidiobolaceae.